This 497-nucleotide ribosomal RNA is filed under the name uncultured bacterium. RNAcentral's name for it is "partial 16S ribosomal RNA". It matches the Rfam family "Bacterial small subunit ribosomal RNA", at positions 28 to 507 of the family's 1533-position model. The record is from RNAcentral.
GAUGAACGCUGGCGGCGUGCCUAAUACAUGCAAGUCGAGCGAACAGACGAGGAGCUUGCUCCUCUGACGUUAGCGGCGGACGGGUGAGUAACACGUGGAUAACCUACCUAUAAGACUGGGAUAACUUCGGGAAACCGGAGCUAAUACCGGAUAAUAUUUUGAACCGCAUGGUUCAAUAGUGAAAGACGGUUUUGCUGUCACUUAUAGAUGGAUCCGCGCCGCAUUAGCUAGUUGGUAAGGUAACGGCUUACCAAGGCAACGAUGCGUAGCCGACCUGAGAGGGUGAUCGGCCACACUGGAACUGAGACACGGUCCAGACUCCUACGGGAGGCAGCAGUAGGGAAUCUUCCGCAAUGGGCGAAAGCUUGACGGAGCAACGCCGCGUGAGUGAUGAAGGUCUUCGGAUCGUAAAACUCUGUUAUUAGGGAAGAACAAAUGUGUAAGUAACUAUGCACGUCUUGACGGUACCUAAUCUGAAAGCCACGGCUAACUACGUG